ACCUGCGGGGUGCCCCCAGGCCCUGGCUUCCUGGCGCGGGGUGUGGCCGCGAUCCCGCCUCCCGGGGGUCUCCUAGACGCCCGCCCCUCCCCUGCCGUGCGGGGUCCCCCGGCGCCCCGAACUUCUAACGAGCACCGGGAGGUGGAAGCACUGUUUGGCCGCGGAACUGUCGUUAUUGUAAGAACAAACGCUCAGUACAAAAGGGAGACGCAGAAUUUACGAGACGGCCCCUCGGAGCCCGGCGGGCGACAUCUGGCUGCGGCGUUCUGCAAGAGCGGUUCCUUUAUCUGGAAACAAAGGCGUCCCCGGACCCGCGAGGCCGCAAAGACCCGGGCCCCUGUCGGCCCCUCCGGGCGGGCGCGGGCCCGAAGGGUUCUUGGCGGCGGAUCGCGUGUCCCCCGGUUGCAGGCGGGACGGAGCCCCCUCCCCUCCCCCUUCUAGCUCCUUCUCCGCCCUUGACCCUCCUCCUCCUCCUCCCUUUCCUUCCUCUUCCUCCUCCCCUCUCCCUUUCCUUCCCUUCCCCCCUCCUCCUCACAACCCUCACCUCCCCCAGCCCCCCGGCAGCCAAGCGACAAGAUUAAGCGAUAAGGCUCGAGGAAAAUUUUCCCAGCUUCACACCGCACCUGGAGAAGGACGCCGACGUCAGGGGAGCCAAAGUCCUCCAGGCAUCCACGGCCCCGCCCCAUCUGGCCUCUGCUCCCUGCGCCACGAUUUCAUGGCCCCGGACACUCUGGCCUCGCAGUUCCUGGGAUUCACCCAGGGGUGCUGUCACCCCAGGGCCUUUGCACCGGCCAUCCCUCUGCGGACUGCUCCUCCCCCUUCCCGCUGGCCGCCCCCAUUUCCUCCUUUAAAUCUUUGCGCACCGUUGUGGGCCUCCUCCAGCUCCCUGUUUAAACACGUGAUCCCGCCGGCCCCUCCCAGGCCGGGCCCCAGCCCCGGGUUCCUUCCCCCAGCCCUAACGCGCUGCUGUUUCCUUGUUUUUCACGGUCUGUUUCCCUCGACUAGGGGUGUGAGUUCUCUCCGCCGCUUCCCAGCUGUGGCCUGCCUGGCUCCCAGGAGGCCCUCCCUAAGUAUCUGUUGACAAUAAAGUAAUGACUAUAAAUCCAUAAA
Molecule: long non-coding RNA, 1110 nt
Organism: Phyllostomus hastatus (greater spear-nosed bat)
Lineage: Eukaryota; Metazoa; Chordata; Mammalia; Chiroptera; Phyllostomidae
Exons: 2
Source: RefSeq, a predicted model, not a curated record